Molecule: ribosomal RNA, 253 nt
Filed under: uncultured bacterium
Lineage: Bacteria
Description: partial 16S ribosomal RNA
Rfam family: Bacterial small subunit ribosomal RNA
Source: RNAcentral
UACGAAGGGAGCUAGCGUUGUUCGGAAUUACUGGGCGUAAAGGGCGUGUAGGCGGCUUGGCAAGUUGGGUGUGAAAGCCCAGGGCUCAACCCUGGAACUGCACUCAAGACUGUCUUGCUUGAAUUCGGUAGAGGUUGGUGGAAUUCCCAGUGUAGAGGUGAAAUUCGUAGAGAUUGGGAAGAACACCCGUGGCGAAGGCGGCCAACUGGACCGACAUUGACGCUGAGACGCGAAAGCGUGGGGAUCAAACAGG